UUGCCAUUUCACCUUCCUUUCACUUCACAAUUCAACUCUUCUAAUUUUCCUACUACCACCGCCACCAAAAUUUAUUCCCUUUCUUUCUAUAUAAAUAUAAAUACUCUCUAUACAUAGAAACCAAACCCUAAUCUCUGAUCUUUUUUUUAGUUCCUAACAUGGCGGAUAGAGUAUACCCAGCUGCUAAACCCGCCGCUGCAAACGGCACUGCCGCCCCCGCCGUCAACGGCGGAGCUAAUCCAGCCUUUCCGGCAAACAAAGCUCAACUUUACAACGCCACCCGCCCUACCUACCGUCCUCAGCCGCCUCCCCGUCGUAAACACCGACGGAGCUGCUGCUGUUGCUGUUGUCUCUGGACCACUUUCUUCAUAAUCACUAUCGUCCUCCUCGCCGCCAUCGCCGGCGCUAUUUUCUGGGUCCUUUACCGUCCACAGAGACCGUCGUUUUCAGUUUCUUCUCUUCAAGUCUCACAAUUCAAUCUCACUUCCACUAAACUCGUCUCCAAAUUCAACCUCACCGUCAUCGCUCG
RNAcentral lists this long non-coding RNA (529 nucleotides) under Nicotiana tabacum (common tobacco). Its description in RNAcentral is "long non-coding RNA (NTAB_LNC000650)". The record is from RNAcentral. Lineage: Eukaryota; Viridiplantae; Streptophyta; Magnoliopsida; Solanales; Solanaceae.